AAUAUAUAAAAUUGUCGAUUGUUAAGUGGCCAUAUUGGUCAGCGAUAUAUUUCUGUGUUUAUAAAUUUUGAUCCAAGAUCGACACGAAGAUGAAGUUAUUGAUUGUAUAUGUUCUGUGUUUCGCAGCAGUGACGGUAGUGUUAUCUGAAGUAGAUGCACCGGUCUUUUUGCUAAGCGAAUACGAGACGUCUGUAAGUUGCGUCCUCAGAGAUGGGCAACCAAUACUAACCGUUAGAGCCAGUGGACCUAAUGCUGUGGAAUAUUCACUUACUACUGGACAAGGCCACGAUGAUAAAUUUGAAAUACAUCCCCGGACGGGAACCAUAUCUUCAAACGGCGAACGUAACUACUGUUCAAACACAGACAUUGAUUUUGGUUUGAAGGCCAUAGCUACUGACCGAAACACAAAAAAUUCAUCAACAGUUAAUGUCAAUGUAAUUCUCCGGCCACUGUCGGGGAAAAUCGUCAUUUCCGAGAACUCCAGCAGUAAAUGAAAAUCUGUUUUAAAUUGAAGAGUAGAAGUAUUUUUAUCCCUGCACUCUGCAAUAAUGAAAGAAAUGUCUGUUUAAAAACAA
Patella vulgata (common limpet) is the source of this 575-nucleotide long non-coding RNA. RefSeq lists it as uncharacterized. The record is from RefSeq and is a predicted model, not a curated record. Lineage: Eukaryota; Metazoa; Mollusca; Gastropoda; Patellidae. The transcript has 4 exons.